UACGAAGGGUGCAAGCGUUACUCGGAAUUACUGGGCGUAAAGCGUGCGUAGGCGGUUCGUUAAGUCUGAUGUGAAAGCCCUGGGCUCAACCUGGGAAUGGCAUUGGAAACUGGCGACCUAGAGUGCGGUAGAGGGUAGUGGAAUUCCCGGUGUAGCAGUGAAAUGCGUAGAGAUCGGGAGGAACAUCCGUGGCGAAGGCGACUACCUGGACCAGCACUGACACUGAGGCACGAAAGCGUGGGGAGCAAACGGG
Molecule: ribosomal RNA, 253 nt
Filed under: uncultured bacterium
Lineage: Bacteria
Description: partial 16S ribosomal RNA
Rfam family: Bacterial small subunit ribosomal RNA
Source: RNAcentral